GACGAACGCUGGCGGCGUGCUUAACACAUGCAAGUCGAACGAAGAGCGAUGGAAGCUUGCUUCUAUCAAUCUUAGUGGCGAACGGGUGAGUAACGCGUAAUCAACCUGCCCUUCAGAGGGGGACAACAGUUGGAAACGACUGCUAAUACCGCAUACGAUCUGACCUCGGCAUCGAGGAUAGAUGAAAGGUGGCCUCUACAUGUAAGCUAUCACUAAAGGAGGGGAUUGCGUCUGAUUAGCUAGUUGGAGGGGUAACGGCCCACCAAGGCGAUGAUCAGUAGCCGGUCUGAGAGGAUGAACGGCCACAUUGGGACUGAGACACGGCCCAGACUCCUACGGGAGGCAGCAGUGGGGAAUCUUCCGCAAUGGACGAAAGUCUGACGGAGCAACGCCGCGUGAGUGAUGACGGCCUUCGGGUUGUAAAGCUCUGUUAAUCGGGACGAAAGGCCUUUUUGCGAAUAGUGAGAAGGAUUGACGGUACCGGAAGAGAAAGCCACGGCUAACUACGUG
This 510-nucleotide ribosomal RNA is filed under the name uncultured bacterium. RNAcentral's name for it is "partial 16S ribosomal RNA". It matches the Rfam family "Bacterial small subunit ribosomal RNA", at positions 28 to 507 of the family's 1533-position model. The record is from RNAcentral.